This 613-nucleotide ribosomal RNA is filed under the name uncultured Bacilli bacterium. RNAcentral's name for it is "bacterial SSU rRNA". It matches the Rfam family "Bacterial small subunit ribosomal RNA", at positions 48 to 628 of the family's 1533-position model. The record is from RNAcentral. Lineage: Bacteria; Bacillati; Bacillota; Bacilli.
CUAAUACAUGCAAGUCGAGCGAGCGGAACCAACAGAUUUACUUCGGUAAUGACGUUGGGAAAGCGAGCGGCGGAUGGGUGAGUAACACGUGGGGAACCUGCCCCUAAGUCUGGGAUACCAUUUGGAAACAGGUGCUAAUACCGGAUAAUAAAGCAGAUCGCAUGAUCAGCUUUUGAAAGGCGGCGUAAGCUGUCGCUAAGGGAUGGCCCCGCGGUGCAUUAGCUAGUUGGUAAGGUAACGGCUUACCAAGGCGACGAUGCAUAGCCGAGUUGAGAGACUGAUCGGCCACAUUGGGACUGAGACACGGCCCAAACUCCUACGGGAGGCAGCAGUAGGGAAUCUUCCACAAUGGACGCAAGUCUGAUGGAGCAACGCCGCGUGAGUGAAGAAGGUUUUCGGAUCGUAAAGCUCUGUUGUUGGUGAAGAAGGAUAGAGGUAGUAACUGGCCUUUAUUUGACGGUAAUCAACCAGAAAGUCACGGCUAACUACGUGCCAGCAGCCGCGGUAAUACGUAGGUGGCAAGCGUUGUCCGGAUUUAUUGGGCGUAAAGCGAGCGCAGGCGGAAAAAUAAGUCUAAUGUGAAAGCCCUCGGCUUAACCGAGGAACUGCAUCG